This 418-nucleotide ribosomal RNA is filed under the name uncultured eukaryote. RNAcentral describes it as "SSU rRNA". It matches the Rfam family "Eukaryotic small subunit ribosomal RNA", at positions 567 to 981 of the family's 1831-position model. The record is from RNAcentral.
CCAGCACCCGCGGUAAUUCCAGCUCCAAUAGCAUAUAUUAAAGUUGUUGCAGUUAAAAAGCUCGUAGUUGGAUUUCUGGCAUGAUGCGCCUGGCCCUGCGUGAUUAUGCGUGUGUGUGCUAGUGCGCGUCUGCCAUCCAUUUGCAGAAUAUGUCUACCCUUAAUUGGGCCGGAUAUGUGAUGUAAAUCUUUUACUUUGAAAAAAUUAGAGUGUUUAAAGCAGGCAUUUGCUAUGAAUACAUUAGCAUGGAAUAAUAAUCUAGGACUUCGGUUCUAUUUUGUUGGUUUCUAGAUCUGGAGUAAUGAUUGAUAGGGAUAGUUGGGGGUGCUAGUAUUAAGGGGCCAGAGGUGAAAUUCUUGGAUUCUCUUAAGACUAACUUAUGCGAAAGCAUUCACCAAGGAUGUCUUCUUUAAUCAAG